This 415-nucleotide ribosomal RNA is filed under the name uncultured bacterium. RNAcentral describes it as "bacterial SSU rRNA". It matches the Rfam family "Bacterial small subunit ribosomal RNA", at positions 107 to 518 of the family's 1533-position model. The record is from RNAcentral.
UGAGUAACGCGUAUGCAACCUACCUAUCAGACGGGGAAUAACCCGGCGAAAGUCGGACUAAUACCGCAUAAAACAGGGGCACCGCAUGGUGAUAUUUGUUAAAGAAAUUCGCUGAUAGAUGGGCAUGCGUUCCAUUAGGUAGUUGGUGAGGUAACGGCUCACCAAGCCGACGAUGGAUAGGGGAACUGAGAGGUUGGUCCCCCCACACUGGUACUGAGACACGGACCAGACUCCUACGGGAGGCAGCAGUGAGGAAUAUUGGUCAAUGGGCGGGAGCCUGAACCAGCCAAGUCGCGUGAAGGAAGAAGGAUCUAUGGUUCGUAAACUUCUUUUGCAGGGGAAUAAAGUGCAGGACGUGUCCUGUUUUGUAUGUACCCUGAGAAUAAGGAUCGGCUAACUCCGUGCCAGCCGCCGC